Molecule: ribosomal RNA, 468 nt
Filed under: uncultured bacterium
Lineage: Bacteria
Description: partial 16S ribosomal RNA
Rfam family: Bacterial small subunit ribosomal RNA
Source: RNAcentral
GAUGAACGCUGGCGGCGUGCCUAACACAUGCAAGUCGGGCGAUUCUCUUCGGAGAAGAGCGGCGGACGGGCGAGUAACGCGUGGGUAACCUGCCCUGUACACACGGAUAACAUACCGAAAGGUAUGCUAAUACGAGAUAAUAUGCUUUUAUCGCAUGGUAGAAGUAUCAAAGUUUUUGCGGUACAGGAUGGACCCGCGUCUGAUUAGCUAGUUGGUAAGGUAACGGCUUACCAAGGCGACGAUCAGUAGCCGACCUGAGAGGGUGAUCGGCCACAUUGGAACUGAGACACGGUCCAAACUCCUACGGGAGGCAGCAGUGGGGAAUAUUGCACAAUGGGCGAAAGCCUGAUGCAGCAACGCCGCGUGAGCGAUGAAGGCCUUCGGGUCGUAAAGCUCUGUCCUCAAGGAAGAUAAUGACGGUACUUGAGGAGGAAGCCCCGGCUAACUACGUGCCAGCCGCCGCCGUAA